UGCGCAGGCGGCCGUGUGUGUUAGAUGUGAAAUCCCGGGGCUCAACCCCGGAACUGCGUCUAAAACUACAUGGCUAGAGUAUUGGAGAGGGUAGCGGAAUUCACGGUGUAGCAGUGAAAUGCGUAGAUAUCGUGAGGAACACCAGAGGCGAAGGCGGCUACCUGGACAAUUACUGACGCUCAGGCACGAAAGCGUGGGAGCAAAAG
This 206-nucleotide ribosomal RNA is filed under the name uncultured bacterium. Its description in RNAcentral is "partial 16S ribosomal RNA". It matches the Rfam family "Bacterial small subunit ribosomal RNA", at positions 568 to 774 of the family's 1533-position model. The record is from RNAcentral.